GGGAAUUGAAGCAUCGUUUGGGCGCGUAAAUGGAGUUGUGAAAACGGCUACUGGAUAUUGUGGAGGAACUGUUCGAAAAGCUUCGCAUAGAGAGAUGAAGAAAACUGAAAACUUGAAACGCCAUCUCAAAAUCCUUCCACUUGUCACUGAAAAAAAAAAAUCUUCGUUAGCGCUUCCUGAUUAGUGAUUUGCAGGUUCUUGAAGGAAUUACAGGCCACACUGAAGCUGUUAAAGUCGUACAUGAUACGCAACAGAUAUCUUACCAGUCUCUCUGUGAUGAAUUCUGGAAAAUCCACGAUCCCACUAAAAGAGAAUAUCUGAAUUUUGAGGUUGGUACACAUUAUCGAUCUAUCAUCUUCUACGCAAGCGAGGAACAGAGGAAGCAAGCCCAGAAGUCAAAGAUCAGGAGGCAGAUGAAGCUUGACAAGAGGAUUGUGACCAAGAUAAUUUCUUUGGAUUAUUCAGAUUUCUUCCUUGCAGAGAACCAGCAUGAGAAGUACAGAACAGUUCACUAAUUCAUCUACAGGAGCUAAAUUGAAUAAGAUAUUAGCUCUGGGUGGAGAGGCAGCUGUAGACGAAUUGGAGAGAUUUCUGAGGAAGUGCUGAGUUGCCCGAGCAAACCCAGUUUGUCUGUGAAGAAAUAAUUGAAGAUAUGGGUGGAAAUGAAGCACAAGGAAAUAUUAAAUUACGAUUUAGAGAGCUUGGGUUGGCCAAAGGAUGAGGCUUAGGUUUUUUUUUUCCUUUUUUCUCAAAAGCCAGAAGAGAAUUGCUACUUCUGUAAUGGCUUGGGCCUGUUUGAAUUGACGACUGGGUGAGUAUUUCUUUUUUGGUAACCGACUGGAUGACAAUCACAAUUAGCAUUUGCCUUCAAGAUAAUUAACCUCAGUAGGGUUGAAAGUUCACAUUAGCUAAC
Macadamia integrifolia is the source of this 913-nucleotide long non-coding RNA. RefSeq lists it as uncharacterized. The record is from RefSeq and is a predicted model, not a curated record. The transcript is spliced from 3 exons. NCBI's taxonomy places the organism in Eukaryota, Viridiplantae, Streptophyta, Magnoliopsida, Proteales, Proteaceae.